AAUCAAGCGCGAGAAGGGCGUUUGGUGAAUGCCUUGGCAGUAAGAGGCGAUGAAGGACGUGAUACUCUGCGAUAAGCGUAGGUGAGCCGAGAAUAGGCUUUGAUCCUGCGAUUUCCGAAUGGGGAAACCCACCUGACAGUUUGUUAUUGUUACCUUACGGUAUCAAUAAUGGAUUGAAACAGGUACUUAAUACCUGAAUACAUAGGGUUUUAAGAGCAAACCCGGGGAACUGAAACAUCUAAGUACCCGGAGGAAAGGACAUCAAUAGAGACUCUGUUAGUAGCGGCGAGCGAACGCGGACCAGCCGAGGUCUGAGAGUGACCAAAACAAUUUGGAAUGAUUGACCAUAGUGGGUGAUAGUCCCGUAUGGGAAGCUCGAUGACACGUAUUAAGUAGGGCGGGACACGUGAAAUCCUGUCUGAAGAUCGGAGGACCACCUCCGAAGGCUAAGUACUCCUUACUGACCGAUAGUGAACCAGUACCGUGAGGGAAAGGUGAAAAGCACCCCGACGAGGGGAGUGAAACAGUACCUGAAACCGAACGCCUACAAUCAGUUGGAGGGGCCUUGAGCCCUGACAGCGUACCUUUUGUAUAAUGGGUCAUCGACUUGGUCUAUCUAGCAAGCUUAAGCCGUUAGGUGUAGGCGCAGCGAAAGCGAGUCUUAAUAGGGCGAAUGAGUUAGAUGGAUCAGACCCGAAACCGAGUGAUCUAGGCAUGGCCAGGCUGAAGAUAAGGUAACACUUAUUGGAGGGCCGAACCCACAUCCGUUGAAAAGGAUCGGGAUGAGCUGUGCCUAGGGGUGAAAGGCCAAUCAAACUCGGAGAUAGCUGGUUCUCCGCGAAAUCUAUUUAGGUAGAGCGUCAUCCGAAUACCCCGGGGGGUAGAGCACUGGAUGGGUAAUGGGGCCCCACAGGCUUACUGAUCCUAACCAAACUCCGAAUACCCGGGAGUACUAGAUGGCAGACACACUGCGGGUGCUAACGCCCGUAGUGGAGAGGGAAACAACCCUAACCUCCAGCUAAGGCCCCUAAUUCAUGGCUAAGUGGGAAAGCAGGUGAGACGGCCAAAACAACCAGGAGGUUGGCUUAGAAGCAGCCAUCCUUUAAAGAUAGCGUAACAGCUCACUGGUCUAAAUAAGCUGUCUUGCGGCGAAGAUGUAACGGGGCUCAAGCCAUGAGCCGAAGCUGAGGACAUCGUAAGAUGUGGUAGCGGAGCGUAGUGUGAUAUAGCACCACUCCUCUUUGGUAUCCCGUGAGGGAUGCAUUAGAGGAAUAGGUGUUUUCUGUGAAGCCGGGCUGUAAGGCAUCCGGUGGAGAGAUCACUAGUGAGAAUGAUGACAUGAGUAGCGACAAAGAGUGUGAGAGACACUCUCGCCGAAAAUCCAAGGGUUCCUGCUUAAAGCUAAUCUGAGCAGGGUAAGCCGGCCCCUAAGUCGAGGCAGAAAUGCGUAGACGAUGGGAACCAGGUUAAUAUUCCUGGGCCAGGAGGAUGUGACGGAUCGUGAAGGUAGUUCAAUCUUAUUGGAUUGAUUGAGCUGCUGAUCGGUUCCUGGAAAUAGCCCUCCAUCAGACCGUACCCUAAACCGACACAGGUGGAUAGGUAGAGCAUACCAAGGCGCUUGAGAGAACUAUGUUGAAGGAACUCGGCAAAAUACCUCCGUAAGUUCGCGAGAAGGAGGCCCAGUUUCUACGCAAGUAUUGGCUGGGGGCACAAACCAGGGGGUGGCGACUGUUUACUAAAAACACAGGGCUCUGCGAAGUCGCAAGACGACGUAUAGGGUCUGACGCCUGCCCGGUGCCUGAAGGUUAAAAGGAGGGGUGAGAGCUCCGAAUUGAAGCCCAGGUAAACGGCGGCCGUAACUAUAACGGUCCUAAGGUAGCGAAAUUCCUUGUCGGGUAAGUUCCGACCUGCACGAAUGGCGUAACGACUUCCCCGCUGUCUCCAACAUAGACUCAGCGAAAUUGAAUUGCCUGUCAAGAUGCAGGCUUCCCGCGGUUAGACGGAAAGACCCCGUGCACCUUCACUACAGCUUCGCACUGGCAUCAGGCACAACAUGUGCAGGAUAGGUGGUGGGCUUUGAAGCAGGGACGCCAGUUCCUGUGGAGCCUCCCUUGAGAUACCACCCUUGUUCUGCUUGAUGUCUAACCGCGGUCCGUUAUCCGGAUCCGGGACCCUGCGUGGCGGGUAGUUUGACUGGGGCGGUCGCCUCCUAAAGAGUAACGGAGGCGCGCGAAGGUUGGCUCAGAGCGGUCGGAAAUCGCUCGUUGAGUGCAAUGGCAUAAGCCAGCCUGACUGCGAGACUGACAAGUCGAGCAGAGACGAAAGUCGGCCAUAGUGAUCCGGUGGUCCCAAGUGGGAGGGCCAUCGCUCAACGGAUAAAAGGUACGCCGGGGAUAACAGGCUGAUACUGCCCAAGAGUCCAUAUCGACGGCAGUGUUUGGCACCUCGAUGUCGGCUCAUCUCAUCCUGGGGCUGGAGCAGGUCCCAAGGGUAUGGCUGUUCGCCAUUUAAAGAGGUACGUGAGCUGGGUUUAGAACGUCGUGAGACAGUUCGGUCCCUAUCUGCCGUGGGUGUAGGAUACUUGAGAGGAGUUGCCCCUAGUACGAGAGGACCGGGGUGAACGAUCCACUGGUGGACCUGUUGUUGCGCCAGCAGCAGUGCAGGGUAGCUAUGAUCGGACAGGAUAACCGCUGAAGGCAUCUAAGCGGGAAGCCCCCCUCAAAACAAGGUAUCCCUGAGGGCCGUGGAAGACCACCACGUCGAUAGGCCGGAGAUGUAAGCAUGGUAACAUGUUCAGUUGACCGGUACUAAUUGCCCGAUAGGCUUGAUUUG
This 2832-nucleotide ribosomal RNA is filed under the name Paracoccaceae bacterium. Its description in RNAcentral is "23S ribosomal RNA". It matches the Rfam family "Bacterial large subunit ribosomal RNA". Lineage: Bacteria; Pseudomonadati; Pseudomonadota; Alphaproteobacteria; Rhodobacterales; Paracoccaceae. The record is from RNAcentral.